CAGGACCCGCAAGACUCCUACAACCCUGUGAACUUAACUAUAAGCACGUUGCUUCGGCGGGUGUCUCGGCGAGGGUCCUCCCUCCCCGGGGCGCUAAGCCCGCCGGCAGCCUACUAUACUCUGUCUCUUUGCGUUGGCAUCUCGAGUACAAUCAAACAAGUUA
RNAcentral lists this unclassified non-coding RNA (163 nucleotides) under soil metagenome. Its description in RNAcentral is "partial internal transcribed spacer 1". The record is from RNAcentral.